AACCAAGAAAUUUAGUCAUUCUUUUACGGUAAAAAGACAGUUAGGCAAAUUAGAGCGAUUAUUAGAUCUUUAGUAGAGGGGUAAAAUCUAUAUACUAAAAGUUAUUCCUGAAAUGAUUUGCUAAAAAGCUGAAUCUGUGACAACUUUAGGGGAAACUGGGAUUGGAUACCCCAUUAUUUUUAGUCGUAAAUUUAGUUUAACUUACCUGAGUACUACGAAUAAAAAGUUUAAAACUCAAAGGGCUUGGCGGUGUUUUAAACCUUUCAGGGGAACCUGUCUCGUAAUCGACAAUCCACGUUAUACCUAACCUCUUAUAGUGAAACAGCCUGUAUACCGUCGUCGCCAGGUAACUUCUAAAAAUAGAGUAGUUAGCUUGAAAAUCUAAUUGAUUAGGACGUCAGAUCAAGGUGCAGCUAAUGAAGAGGUGAGGAUAGGUUACAAUUACAUAUUUGUAAAUACGGAAAACACUUGAAAUAAGUGCUUAAAGGAGGACUUGAAAGUAAUCGUAAUUAUAUAAAUAAAAUGAAUAAGGCUCUGAAACGUGC
Molecule: ribosomal RNA, 545 nt
Filed under: Conus cuvieri
Lineage: Eukaryota; Metazoa; Mollusca; Gastropoda; Neogastropoda; Conidae
Description: partial 12S ribosomal RNA
Source: RNAcentral